Molecule: non-coding RNA, 206 nt
Organism: Oryza glumipatula
Lineage: Eukaryota; Viridiplantae; Streptophyta; Magnoliopsida; Poales; Poaceae
Source: Rfam
AAUAAGUGCAGUUUUGCAUUAUUUAUCUUCAAUAUUUGAUUGUUCGUCUUAUUUAAAAAAAAUUUUAUGAUUACUAUUUUUAUUGUUAUUAGAUGAUAAAACAUGAAUAAUACUUUGUGUGACUAUUUUUAAAAAAUAAUUCAUAAAUUUUUCAAAUAAGACGGACGGUCAAACAUUGGACACUGGUUUCCACGACUGCACUUAUU